UUAGUAUUCCCUCCGUCCAAAAAUACUUGUCAUCAAAAUGGAGAAAAAGAGAUGUAUCUAGAACUAAAAUACGUCUAGAUACAUCCCCUUUUAUCCAUUUUGAUUACAAGUAUUUCCGAACGGAGGAAGUAUCAU
Molecule: non-coding RNA, 135 nt
Organism: Triticum aestivum (bread wheat)
Lineage: Eukaryota; Viridiplantae; Streptophyta; Magnoliopsida; Poales; Poaceae
Source: Rfam